UACGUAGGUGGCAAGCGUUGUCCGGAAUUAUUGGGCGUAAAGCGCGCGCAGGCGGUUCUUUAAGUCUGAUGUGAAAGCCCACGGCUCAACCGUGGAGGGUCAUUGGAAACUGGGGGACUUGAGUGCAGGAGAGAAGAGUGGAAUUCCACGUGUAGCGGUGAAAUGCGUAGAGAUGUGGAGGAACACCAGUGGCGAAGGCGGCUAUCUGGACGGUUUCUGACGCUAAGACGCGAAAGCGUGGGGAGCAAACAGG
Molecule: ribosomal RNA, 253 nt
Filed under: uncultured bacterium
Lineage: Bacteria
Description: partial 16S ribosomal RNA
Rfam family: Bacterial small subunit ribosomal RNA
Source: RNAcentral